This 72-nucleotide transfer RNA is filed under the name Camelus bactrianus (Bactrian camel). It matches the Rfam family "tRNA". From Rfam's summary of the family: Transfer RNA (tRNA) molecules are approximately 80 nucleotides in length. Their secondary structure includes four short double-helical elements and three loops (D, anti-codon, and T loops). RNAcentral also lists the same sequence under 2 other names. Lineage: Eukaryota; Metazoa; Chordata; Mammalia; Artiodactyla; Camelidae. The record is from Rfam by way of RNAcentral.
GUGGGGAUAGCUCAGUGGUUAGAGCGCGUGCUUAGCAUGCACGAGUCUUGGGUUCUACCCCCAGUACUUCCA